UAGGGAAUCUUCGGCAAUGGACGAAAGUCUGACCGAGCAACGCCGCGUGAGUGAAGAAGGUUUUCGGAUCGUAAAACUCUGUUGUUAGAGAAGAACGACGAGGAGAGUGGAAAGCUCCUCGUGCGACGGUAUCUAACCAGAAAGGGACGGCUAACUACGUGCCAC
Molecule: ribosomal RNA, 165 nt
Filed under: uncultured bacterium
Lineage: Bacteria
Description: partial 16S rRNA
Rfam family: Bacterial small subunit ribosomal RNA
Source: RNAcentral